AAAAUCCGAGUUACACUCCCAACCCCAAUGUGAACGUUACCAAUCUGUUGCCUCGGCGGGAUUCUCUUGCCCCGGGCGCGUCGCAGCCCCGGAUCCCAUGGCGCCCGCCGGAGGACCAACUCCAAACUCUUUUUUUCUCUCCGUCGCGGCUCCCGUCGCGGCUCUGUUUUAUUUUUGCUCUGAGCCUUUCUCGGCGACCCUAGCGGGCGUCUCGAAAAUGAAUCAAAACUUUCAACAACGGAUCUCUUGGUUCUGGCAUCGAUGAAGAACGCAGCGAAAUGCGAUAAGUAAUGUGAAUUGCAGAAUUCAGUGAAUCAUCGAAUCUUUGAACGCACAUUGCGCCCGCCAGUAUUCUGGCGGGCAUGCCUGUCCGAGCGUCAUUUCAACCCUCGAACCCCUCCGGGGGGUCGGCGUUGGGGAUCGGCCCCUCACCGGGCCGCCCCCGAAAUACAGUGGCGGUCUCGCCGCAGCCUCUCCUGCGCAGUAGUUUGCACACUCGCACCGGGAGCGCGGCGCGGCCACAGCCGUAAAACACCCCAAACUUCUGAAAUGUUGACCUCGGAUCAGGUAGGAAUACCCGCUGAACUUAAGCAUAUCAAUAAAGCGGAGGAACUCCGAUUUUCCCUCCCCACCCCUUGUGAGGGUAGCAAUCUGUUGCGCGGCGGGAUUUUUUGCCCGGGAGCGACCACCCCGGAUCCAUGGGCCGCCGGAGACCAAUCCAACUCUUUUUUUUCUCAUGGGCUCCAGCGCGGUCUUAUUUUAUUUGAUAGAACCUUUUUGGAACCUGAGGGGUAUCGAAAUGAGAGAAAAUUUUAGAGAGAAAUAGGGGGUGG
This 833-nucleotide ribosomal RNA is filed under the name Trichoderma longibrachiatum. RNAcentral's name for it is "eukaryotic LSU rRNA". The stretch from base 227 to 380 matches the Rfam family "5.8S ribosomal RNA". Lineage: Eukaryota; Fungi; Ascomycota; Sordariomycetes; Hypocreales; Hypocreaceae. The record is from RNAcentral.